AACGAACGCUGGCGGCAUGCCUAACACAUGCAAGUCGAACGAGACCUUCGGGUUUAGUGGCGCACGGGUGCGUAACGCGUUGGAACCUGCCCUUAGGCUCGGAAUAACUUCCCGAAAGGGGUGCUAAUACCGGAUAAUGUCUUCGGACCAAAGAUUUAUCGCCUUUGGAUGGGCCCGCGUUGGAUUAGCUGGUUGGUAGGGUAAAAGCCUACCAAUGCGACGAUCCAUAGCUGGUUUGAGAGGAUGAUCAGCCACACUGGGACUGAGACACGGCCCAGAAUCCUACGGGAGGCAGCAGUGGGGAAUAUUGGAAAAUGGGCGAAAGCCUGAACCAGCAAUGCCGCGUGAGUGAUGAAGGCCUUAGGGUUGUAAAGCUCUUUUACCCGGGAUGAUAAUGACAGUACCGGGAGAAUAAGCUCCGGCUAACUCCGUG
RNAcentral lists this ribosomal RNA (433 nucleotides) under uncultured bacterium. Its description in RNAcentral is "partial 16S ribosomal RNA". It matches the Rfam family "Bacterial small subunit ribosomal RNA", at positions 29 to 507 of the family's 1533-position model. The record is from RNAcentral.